This 84-nucleotide transfer RNA is filed under the name Periweissella beninensis. RNAcentral describes it as "tRNA-Leu". It matches the Rfam family "tRNA". From Rfam's summary of the family: Transfer RNA (tRNA) molecules are approximately 80 nucleotides in length. Their secondary structure includes four short double-helical elements and three loops (D, anti-codon, and T loops). The record is from RNAcentral. Lineage: Bacteria; Bacillati; Bacillota; Bacilli; Lactobacillales; Lactobacillaceae.
GCGGGCGUGGCGGAAUUGGCAGACGCGCAGGAUUAAGGAUCCUGUGGUAGCAAUACCAUGGAGGUUCGAGCCCUCUCGCCCGCA